UUUCCAAGUUUUCCCACUAGCC
This 22-nucleotide non-coding RNA is filed under the name Arabidopsis thaliana (thale cress). The record is from RNAcentral. Lineage: Eukaryota; Viridiplantae; Streptophyta; Magnoliopsida; Brassicales; Brassicaceae.